UACGUAGGGGGCGAGCGUUGUCCGGAUUUAUUGGGCGUAAAGAGCUCGUAGGCGGCUUGGCAAGUCGGGUGUGAAACCUCCAGGCUCAACCUGGAGACGCCACUCGAUACUGCUAUGGCUAGAGUCCGGUAGGGGACCACGGAAUUCCUGGUGUAGCGGUGAAAUGCGCAGAUAUCAGGAGGAACACCGGUGGCGAAGGCGGUGGUCUGGGCCGGCACUGACGCUGAGGAGCGAAAGCGUGGGUAGCAAACAGGAUUAGAAACCCCCGUAGUCC
RNAcentral lists this ribosomal RNA (274 nucleotides) under uncultured bacterium. Its description in RNAcentral is "partial 16S ribosomal RNA". It matches the Rfam family "Bacterial small subunit ribosomal RNA", at positions 524 to 796 of the family's 1533-position model. The record is from RNAcentral.